UGGCGGACGGGUGGGUAAUGUCUGGGAAACUGCCCGAUGGAGGGGGAUAACUACUGGAAACGGUAGCUAAUACCGCAUAACGUCGCAAGACCAAAGAGGGGACCUUCGGGCCUCUUGCCAUCGGAUGUGCCCAGAUGGGAUUAGCUAGUAGGUGGGGUAACGGCUCACCUAGGCGACGAUCCCUAGCUGGUCUGAGAGGAUGACCAGCCACACUGGAACUGAGACACGGUCCAG
This 234-nucleotide ribosomal RNA is filed under the name uncultured bacterium. RNAcentral describes it as "partial 16S ribosomal RNA". It matches the Rfam family "Bacterial small subunit ribosomal RNA", at positions 96 to 334 of the family's 1533-position model. The record is from RNAcentral.